AUUGAACGCUAGCGGUAUGCUUAACACAUGCAAGUCGAACGGCAGCACGAGGAGCUUGCUCCUUGGUGGCGAGUGGCGGACGGGUGAGUAAUGCGUAGGAAUCUACCUUAUAGUGGGGGAUAACCCGGGGAAACUCGGGCUAAUACCGCAUAAUCUCUAAGGAGCAAAGCAGGGGACCUUCGGGCCUUGCGCUGUAAGAUGAGCCUACGUCGGAUUAGCUAGUCGGUAGGGUAAUGGCCUACCAAGGCGACGAUCCGUAGCUGGUCUGAGAGGACGAUCAGCCACACUGGGACUGAGACACGGCACAGACUCCUACGGGAGGCAGCAGUGGGGAAUAUUGGACAAUGGGGGAAACCCUGAUCCAGCAAUACCGCGUGUGUGAAGAAGGCCUUCGGGUUGUAAAGCACUUUCAGCGGGGAAGAAAAAGCCAAGAAUAAUACUCUUGGAAAUUGACGUUACCCGAAGAAGAAGCACCGGCUAACUCUGUGCCAGCAGCCGCCGUAA
Molecule: ribosomal RNA, 504 nt
Filed under: uncultured bacterium
Lineage: Bacteria
Description: partial 16S ribosomal RNA
Rfam family: Bacterial small subunit ribosomal RNA
Source: RNAcentral